UACAAACCAGCACAAAAUAAGUAGGAAAUGAACCUUAGGUUUUUGUGCAAGAUCAUCUACACAGAGACACUGGAAUCUGGAAAACUCCCAGAAGAGAAGAGUGGCUGAAGAUUUAUAUACUUUCUUGGAAGAUGGAUAACAUGUUCUGCUUGGCCAGGAAGCUAGAACACUGUUACAAAGCCCAGAAGCCCUCUCUGAAUGCUAGCAGUAUCUUUCUGUUUGUGGAAAGAAAGCUUUUCUGUUCUGCCUCCUCUCUUCUGAGCUGUCUAACACUGAGAUAGCAAAGGAUGCCAUAGAUUCCUUGGACAGAAACUACAGCACUACAGGGGUUCUUUUCCAGGUAUACUGACUUUCUGAAGAGCAGUAGAUGGAAGAAACCAUGCAGAGUAGAAGCUCACUGGCUCUGCAUAUGACAGAGACUCCUGUUGAGCUCCUGAAGGUGAAGCAGAGCCCUUUGAUUUGUCAGACCAUGCCUCCCAUAUUCCAGACUAUAGAGUUCCCCCAGGGAAAUACAGAAACUCAGUUUCUGAUUGGAAA
This is a long non-coding RNA of Anas platyrhynchos (mallard), 537 nucleotides long. RefSeq lists it as uncharacterized. The record is from RefSeq and is a predicted model, not a curated record. Lineage: Eukaryota; Metazoa; Chordata; Aves; Anseriformes; Anatidae.